This 436-nucleotide ribosomal RNA is filed under the name uncultured Clostridium sp. RNAcentral describes it as "bacterial SSU rRNA". It matches the Rfam family "Bacterial small subunit ribosomal RNA", at positions 958 to 1393 of the family's 1533-position model. The record is from RNAcentral. Lineage: Bacteria; Bacillati; Bacillota; Clostridia; Eubacteriales; Clostridiaceae.
AACGCGAAGAACCUUACCUAAGCUUGACAUCCCACUGACCUCUCCCUAAUCGGAGAUUUCCCUUCGGGGACAGUGGUGACAGGUGGUGCAUGGUUGUCGUCAGCUCGUGUCGUGAGAUGUUGGGUUAAGUCCCGCAACGAGCGCAACCCUUGCCUUUAGUUGCCAGCAUUAAGUUGGGCACUCUAGAGGGACUGCGGAGGAUAACUCGGAGGAAGGUGGGGAUGACGUCAAAUCAUCAUGCCCCUUAUGCUUAGGGCUACACACGUGCUACAAUGGGUGGUACAGAGGGUUGCCAAGCCGUGAGGUGGAGCUAAUCCCUUAAAGCCAUUCUCAGUUCGGAUUGUAGGCUGAAACUCGCCUACAUGAAGCUGGAGUUACUAGUAAUCGCAGAUCAGAAUGCUGCGGUGAAUGCGUUCCCGGGCCUUGUACACACCGA